Molecule: ribosomal RNA, 252 nt
Filed under: uncultured bacterium
Lineage: Bacteria
Description: partial 16S ribosomal RNA
Rfam family: Bacterial small subunit ribosomal RNA
Source: RNAcentral
UACGAAGGGGGCUAGCGUUGCUCGGAAUCACUGGGCGUAAAGCGCACGUAGGCGGAUUUUAAGUCAGGGGUGAAAUCCUGGAGCUCAACUCCAGAACUGCCUUUGAUACUGGCGAUCUCGAGUCCGGGAGAGGUGAGUGGAACUGCGAGUGUAGAGGUGAAAUUCGUAGAUAUUCGCAAGAACACCAGUGGCGAAGGCGGCUCACUGGCCCGGUACUGACGCUGAGGUGCGAAAGCGUGGGGAGCAAACAGG